UAGGGAAUCUUCGGCAAUGGACGAAAGUCUGACCGAGCAACGCCGCGUGAGUGAAGAAGGUUUUCGGAUCGUAAAACUCUGUUGUUAGAGAAGAACAAGGACGUUAGUAACUGAACGUCCCCUGACGGUAUCUAACCAGAAAGCCACGGCUAACUACGUGCCAGCCGCCGCGGUAAUACGUAGGUGGCAAGCGUUGUCCGGAUUUAUUGGGCGUAAAGCGAGCGCAGGCGGUUUCUUAAGUCUGAUGUGAAAGCCCCCGGCUCAACCGGGGAGGGUCAUUGGAAACUGGGAGAGUGGAGUGCAGAAGAGGGGAGUGGAAUUCCAUGUGUAGCGGGGAAAUGCGUAGAUAUAUGGAGGAACACCAGUGGCGAAGGCGGCUCUCUGGUCUGUAACUGACGAUGAGGCGCGAAAGCGUGGGGAGCAAACAGG
Molecule: ribosomal RNA, 429 nt
Filed under: Gemmatimonadota bacterium
Lineage: Bacteria; Pseudomonadati; Gemmatimonadota
Description: Gemmatimonadetes bacterium partial 16S ribosomal RNA
Rfam family: Bacterial small subunit ribosomal RNA
Source: RNAcentral